RNAcentral lists this unclassified non-coding RNA (215 nucleotides) under Hevea brasiliensis (rubber tree). The record is from RNAcentral. Lineage: Eukaryota; Viridiplantae; Streptophyta; Magnoliopsida; Malpighiales; Euphorbiaceae.
AUAGUCUCCAAAGAUGGGGCGAUUUGUGCUUGAACCUGAGCUUCUUCCCUAGAAAUGGCGAAGUGGGUUGUUUCAGGUGGCGAAGUUGGAGGUUGGUAACUCCGAUACUAACCCCACCUGCUGCGGCAGCGAGGGCGGCCAUGGAUGAAAAGAGUGAAAGGGGUAAUCCGAAACGGGGAAGGGGGAACGGGCAGGGAACAGAUACUGGCGUGGCG